AGUGUGUGUGUGUGUGUGUGUGUGUGUGUACACGACAAUAAUAUUAUGUCGACGUACGUGUGUUUGAAUAUACACAUACACACACACACACACACGCGCU
Non-coding RNA from Cinara cedri, 100 nucleotides. NCBI's taxonomy places the organism in Eukaryota, Metazoa, Arthropoda, Insecta, Hemiptera, Aphididae. The record is from the annotation of a GenBank genome assembly.